GAUGAACGCUGACAGAAUGCUUAACACAUGCAAGUCUUUGGCGAAGCUGUGCUCGCACAGCCUAGCCAAGGCGGACGGGUGAGUAACGCGUAAGGAACUUGCCCUGCAGUCAGGGAUAACAGACGGAAACGACUGAUAAGACCUGGUAAAGUCAGGCGGACUCAUGUCCAGCCUGAUGAAAAGAGAUGCUGCAGGAGAGCCUUGCGUCCUAUUAGCUUGUUGGUGGGGUAACGGCCCACCAAGGCGAUGAUAGGUAGCCGGCCUGAGAGGGUGGACGGCCACAAGGGGACUGAGAUACGGCCCUUACUCCUACGGGAGGCAGCAGUGGGGAAUAUUGGACAAUGGGGGCAACCCUGAUCCAGCAAUUCUGUGUGCACGAUGAAGGUUUUCGGAUUGUAAAGUGCUUUCAGCAGGGAAGAAAAAAAUGACGGUACCUGCAGAAGAAGCGACGGCUAAAUACGUG
RNAcentral lists this ribosomal RNA (463 nucleotides) under uncultured bacterium. RNAcentral's name for it is "partial 16S ribosomal RNA". It matches the Rfam family "Bacterial small subunit ribosomal RNA", at positions 28 to 507 of the family's 1533-position model. The record is from RNAcentral.